GGAACUGCCGGUGAUAAACCGGAGGAAGGUGGGGAUGACGUCAAAUCAUCACGGCCCUUAUGUCCAGGGCUACACACGUGCUACAAUGGCCGGUACAAAGCGUUGCAAACCUGCGAAGGGGAGCCAAUCGCAAAAAACCGGUCUCAGUUCAGAUUGCAGUCUGCAACUCGACUGCAUGAAGCUGGAAUCGCUAGUAAUCGUGGAUCAGAACGCCACGGUGAAUACGUUCCCGGGCCUU
This 238-nucleotide ribosomal RNA is filed under the name uncultured Leptospiraceae bacterium. RNAcentral's name for it is "partial 16S ribosomal RNA". It matches the Rfam family "Bacterial small subunit ribosomal RNA", at positions 1145 to 1382 of the family's 1533-position model. The record is from RNAcentral. Lineage: Bacteria; Pseudomonadati; Spirochaetota; Leptospiria; Leptospirales; Leptospiraceae.